UUGAGGUUGAUGAAUUCUCAAACGAAUACCUGAGUUUGCACCCAAUGCCAUCAACAACAAAAAAAGGCAUCUUUGCUGGAGGAGCAUUUUGAAGCUGUUGAAGAAGAGGAUGAAAAGGCUAUUGGUGAUUCUGAUGCAUCAUCAGCGAGUGAAUUGUCAGAAGAUGAGCAUGAAAACACAAAGGCCAAAUCCAAGAAGAAAGUACAAGCUCCUAGAUUUUACGAAGUGAAGGAUAAAUGGCAAAAGAAGGGUUUUCUAAAAACCCCUCAAAAACAGAGAGGAAAAACCAACAGAGGGGCUAGGGUUUAGUACCACUGGCGGAGGGUUUAUUACUCCGGUUGAUGGAAGCGAAGAUGUGUUUCUUUCACCAAUCAGCACACCCAGGAGAAGCAGUGUUGGAGGUGGAUGUGACACAAAAAUCCAAGAAAGAAAACCCCACUGAUGAAGAGGAAGCUGGCGAAAGUUAAUCGGGCUCUGGGAGCCCGACUUCUUGAGGAGGAGGAAGAGCUGAAUGAGAAUAAGGGAGCUGAUGAUGCUGAUGCUCAGAAACAUCAGAUGCUAAGAAAACAUCAAAGAAAAAGAAAGGUCUCACGAGUGAAGUUCUCAACGAUGAGAGGUUUACAGCUAUGUUUGAAAAUAAGCCAGUUGCUAAGAAUUGGGGUGCUGGUGAUGAUGACUACAAUCACAUCAGACAUCCAAAGUCUCCCAACAGAAACCUUGGUUCAGGGCUGGUAAGAAAGAAACAUGUAACAUACGUGGUUCAGAUUCGAUCUCUGUGGCAAAGCAUGUGUGUUGGGUCAAGACCCGAUAUGAUUCUUCAUCUGAUUCAAGCACUGAGCCAAAGAAAGUCAGAGGUAUCAUGCAGUUGCUGUAGGCCAAGCCCAUGUUCCACUAUCUCUGACUGCUGUGAGUGCUGAGACUGUAGCUUCCCCUGUGGUCCAUGUGAUCAUGGCAGCAGUGGUAAGACAAAAUGGAAGUUUCUGUAAGUGUUCGACAAUUAAGUUACAAAAUGAUUGAAAUAAAAAGCAUGACAUCGAAAAUGCCAACAUCCAGAGGCCAUAGGUGAUCCUACUGCAAUUGUAAGCUGAGAAGGAAAUGGAAAAAUCUAAGAUGUAAAAUCCGCUAUUACAUUCAGAGAACGCAUCUAAGUCUGGAAAGCCGAAUAUGAAAGGGCUAUCCAUUGACAAAGUUGUUCACCCCAGGACAAGUCUGGCAUCAUAUUACAGCAUUUUACAGUGGGUAAGCCAGGUAAGUAUUAUGUGUUGUCUGUUUAUUGUGAUUUUGUUGUGAUUGGUAAAGACAUUCAUGCACAUGGUUCAUGGCUAUACAGAGCCCUGAAUGUUAGUGUUUGCAUGUUGAUCAAAGACUUUUAUCAUCAUCGUAAACUCACUUAAGUAUUUCAGGCCUGAGGUGAAAGCAGUCAAUGGAGAGGUUCUGUGAACAUUUGUGUACCAUGAAAUUUUGGCAAGUAUUUUGGACCCUUGCUCUUUUGCGACAUUAUAGUUGCAAUUUUUGUUGUGUUAGUACCCAUCAUGUUCUUAUAUUUUUAGAUUGGAUUCUUAGAAUACUGCAAAAAGCAUGGUUUCACAAGCUGUUAUAUAUGAUCUUGCCCUUCUAUGAAAGGGGAAGAUUACAUUUGUAUUGCCACCCAGAAAUUCAGAAGACACCAAACUCGCUUGAACUUAGGGAGUGGUAAGUUUGAUGA
Non-coding RNA from Sesamum indicum (sesame), 1705 nucleotides. NCBI's taxonomy places the organism in Eukaryota, Viridiplantae, Streptophyta, Magnoliopsida, Lamiales, Pedaliaceae. The record is from RefSeq and is a predicted model, not a curated record.